Molecule: ribosomal RNA, 253 nt
Filed under: uncultured bacterium
Lineage: Bacteria
Description: partial 16S ribosomal RNA
Rfam family: Bacterial small subunit ribosomal RNA
Source: RNAcentral
GACGUAGGGUGCGAGCGUUGUCCGGAUUUAUUGGGCGUAAAGAGCUCGUAGGCGGCUCGUCGCGUCAGCUGUGAAAUCUCGUGGCUUAACUGCGGGCUUGCAGCUGAUACGGGCGGGCUAGAGUUCGGUAGGGGAGACUGGAAUUCCUGGUGUAGCGGUGAAAUGCGCAGAUAUCAGGAGGAACACCGGUGGCGAAGGCGGGUCUCUGGGCCGAUAUUGACGCUGAGGAGCGAAAGCGUGGGGAGCGAACAGG